UACAGAGGGUGCAAGCGUUGUUCGGAAUCACUGGGCGUAAAGGGUGCGUAGGCGGGUCUUUAAGUCAGGGGUGAAAUCCUGGAGCUCAACUCCAGAACUGCCUUUGAUACUGAAGAUCUUGAGUUCGGGAGAGGUGAGUGGAACUGCGAGUGUAGAGGUGAAAUUCGUAGAUAUUCGCAAGAACACCAGUGGCGAAGGCGGCUCACUGGCCCGAUACUGACGCUGAGGCACGAAAGCGUGGGGAGCAAACAGG
This 253-nucleotide ribosomal RNA is filed under the name uncultured bacterium. Its description in RNAcentral is "partial 16S ribosomal RNA". It matches the Rfam family "Bacterial small subunit ribosomal RNA", at positions 524 to 776 of the family's 1533-position model. The record is from RNAcentral.